AAGACAGGAACAGGAAGACCUCAGCCCUCAGCCUAAAAUCCUUUCAAAGGUGGAUGCAGCCUUUCUUCUGGAAAUCUGCUGACCAGUCUACAGUGACCAAGGCUCUAUAAAAUACAGUCGGGAGGUCACCGUUAUGAACAUCUCCAAGAUUUCCUCCAAGAGAUCGAGGAUUGUGAUGAUGGCCAACUGACUGUUCCAAAAGUGAUGACAGUGGCUGACGGGACAGGCGCACAAGCCGGUCUUACCCAGCGAGAAGAGGGUGUCUAUACAAUUUAAGCAUGAUUGUGAUGGACACGCAAUUUGUUUUCCGACAGUGAGUGCCUGCAGUCGCACGGUCACACUUCCUGUAUUGCACAUGAGCACAAUUCAGCAGUUCAGAAAUAUAAUGGAUCUGGCCUUAACCCACGGAGGCUCCUUUGACCGAGCUUGAUUGUGCAUGUGUGGUGAGGGGGAGGGUACUUGGGCAAUAUCA
This is a long non-coding RNA of Sardina pilchardus (European sardine), 472 nucleotides long. RefSeq lists it as uncharacterized. The record is from RefSeq and is a predicted model, not a curated record. NCBI's taxonomy places the organism in Eukaryota, Metazoa, Chordata, Actinopteri, Clupeiformes, Clupeidae. The transcript has 3 exons.